This 301-nucleotide ribosomal RNA is filed under the name uncultured bacterium. RNAcentral's name for it is "partial 16S ribosomal RNA". It matches the Rfam family "Bacterial small subunit ribosomal RNA", at positions 509 to 807 of the family's 1533-position model. The record is from RNAcentral.
CAGUAGCCGCGGUAAUACGAGGGGUGCAAGCGUUAUUCGGAUUGAUUGGGUGUAAAGGGUGUGCAGACGGCUUAUUAAGUCACUUGUUAAAUUCUUCGGCCUAACUGAAGGUCUGCAAGUGAUACUGAUGAGCUAGAGGGUGGAAGAGAGAAGUGGAAUUCUCGGAGUAGCGGUAAAAUGCGUAGGUCUCGAGAGGAACACCAAUGGCGAAGGCAGCUUCUUGGUCCAUUCCUGACGUUCAUACACGAAAGCGUGGGGAGCAAACAGGAUUAGAUACCCCCGUAGUCCCUGUCUCUUAUAC